This is a long non-coding RNA of Pezoporus occidentalis (night parrot), 632 nucleotides long. RefSeq lists it as uncharacterized. The transcript has 4 exons. Lineage: Eukaryota; Metazoa; Chordata; Aves; Psittaciformes; Psittacidae. The record is from RefSeq and is a predicted model, not a curated record.
GGGCUGCCUCGGCUCGGCCCGGCAGCUCCCGCGGUGGGGUGCGGGAAGCGCGGCCACCGCUGCACCCGCGGAGUAGCUAAUGGUCGUUCCAGGCAAAUUUAGAUCGUCGUGCACUUUGCACGCCUGUGAAGUGCAGGAUCGGGGCUCUGCGGCCGUGCUGCCAUUGAAGAUAAUGGACAAAAAAGGCCGACCUUCUGUUGUGUGUACCGUGGUGACUCGUCAAGCGCUGGAAGCAUGCCGCAGCUCUCAAUCUUCGCCUCAGCCAGUGCAGUGCAAAGGAGACACAAGCCUCUGCAGAAAAAAAGGGUAUCUGCGACCCAUUGUUCGUGUGUUUGAGAGCAUCAGGAAGCUGCUUACCACAGGAAUCAGUCGCAGUUAUAAGCAUUGAGGGUGUGUUCCCUUUCAAGGCAGAGUCAAGGACAGUCAAGAACUUCUGUGUGAAUAACACCUGAUUGCUGCAGAAAACAACCGUACUUAAGACAAACAGUGUAUGUGGACUUGUAACAUGUUUACAGCAACCCUGAAGCACAGGUUUUAGUUUGGUACAGCCAGAAGCAACCAAGAAAUGAAUAGUAAAUUAAAGUAAUUGCUUCAGACCUCACAUUGAAUAAAAAUGCCAAUGUAGAUAAGGA